CAGAGGUGGCAAGCGUUGUUCGGAAUUACUGGGCGUAAAGGGCGCGUAGGCGGCCUUGUCAGUCAGACGUGAAAUCCCCAGGCUUAACCUGGGAACUGCGUCUGAUACUACAAGGCUGGAGUUCGGGAGAGGAAUGUGGAAUUCCAGGUGUAGCGGUGAAAUGCGUAGAUAUCUGGAGGAACACCGGUGGCGAAGGCGGCAUUCUGGACCGAAACUGACGCUGAGGCGCGAAAGCCAGGGGAGCAAACGGGAUUAGAUACCCCGGUAGUCCUGGCCCUAAACGAUGAGUGCUUGGUGUGGCGGGUAUCGAUCCCUGCCGUGCCGAAGCUAACGCAUUAAGCACUCCGCCUGGGGAGUACGGUCGCAAGGCUG
RNAcentral lists this ribosomal RNA (372 nucleotides) under uncultured organism. Its description in RNAcentral is "bacterial SSU rRNA". It matches the Rfam family "Bacterial small subunit ribosomal RNA", at positions 526 to 896 of the family's 1533-position model. The record is from RNAcentral.